Molecule: ribosomal RNA, 1250 nt
Filed under: uncultured bacterium
Lineage: Bacteria
Description: bacterial SSU rRNA
Rfam family: Bacterial small subunit ribosomal RNA
Source: RNAcentral
ACAGGGGGGAUAACACUGAGAAAUUGGUAUUAAUACCCCAUAAUAUCAUAGAAGGCAUCUUUUAUGGUUGAAAAUUCCGAUGGUUAGAGAUGGGCAUGCGUUGUAUUAGCUAGUUGGUGGGGUAACGGCUCACCAAGGCGACGAUACAUAGGGGGACUGAGAGGUUAACCCCCCACACUGGUACUGAGACACGGACCAGACUCCUACGGGAGGCAGCAGUGAGGAAUAUUGGUCAAUGGACGCAAGUCUGAACCAGCCAUGCCGCGUGCAGGAUGACGGCUCUAUGAGUUGUAAACUGCUUUUGUACGAGGGUAAACGCAGAUACGUGUAUCUGUCUGAAAGUAUCGUACGAAUAAGGAUCGGCUAACUCCGUGCCAGCAGCCGCGGUAAUACGGAGGAUUCAAGCGUUAUCCGGAUUUAUUGGGUUUAAAGGGUGCGUAGGCGGUUUGAUAAGUUAGAGGUGAAAUUUCGGGGCUCAACCCUGAACGUGCCUCUAAUACUGUUGAGCUAGAGAGUAGUUGCGGUAGGCGGAAUGUAUGGUGUAGCGGUGAAAUGCUUAGAGAUCAUACAGAACACCGAUUGCGAAGGCAGCUUACCAAACUAUAUCUGACGUUGAGGCACGAAAGCGUGUGGAGCAAACAGGAUUAGAUACCCUGGUAGUCCACGCAGUAAACGAUGAUAACUCGUUGUCGGCGAUACACAGUCGGGUGGGUAAGAGAAAGCGAUAAGUUUUCCCCCUCGGGAGGGCGUUCGCAAGAAAGAAACUCAAAGGAAUUGACGGGGACCCGCACACGCGGUGGGGCAUGUGGUUUAAUUGGAAGCAACGCGAAGAACCUUACCAAGUCUUGACAUCCCUCUGACCGACUCUUAACCGAGUCUAUCUUUCGGGACAGAGGAGACAGGUGGUGCAUGGUUGUCGUCAGCUCGUGUCGUGGGAUGUUGGGUUAAGUCCCGCAACGAGCGCAACCCCUAUCCUCAGUAGCCAGCAUUUAAGAUGGGCACUCUGGGGAGACUGCCAGGGAUAACCUGGAGGAAGGCGGGGAGGACGUCAAAUCAUCAUGCCCCCUAUGAUUUGGGCUACACACGUGCUACAAUGGCGUAAACAAGGGAAGCGAACCUGCGAGGGUGGGCAAAUCCCAAAAAUAACGUCCCAGUUCGGACUGUAGUCUGCAACCCGACUACACGAAGCUGGAAUCGUUAGUAAUCGCGGAUCAGAAUGCCGCGGUGAAUAAAAUCCCGGGUCUUGUACA